RNAcentral lists this ribosomal RNA (483 nucleotides) under uncultured bacterium. RNAcentral's name for it is "bacterial SSU rRNA". It matches the Rfam family "Bacterial small subunit ribosomal RNA", at positions 28 to 526 of the family's 1533-position model. The record is from RNAcentral.
AAUGAACGUUGGCGGCGUGGAUUAGGCAUGCAAGUCGUGCGAUAACCCCGCAAGGGGGGAAAGCGGCGAAAGGGAGAGUAACGCGUGGGUACCUGCCCCUUGGUCCGGAAUAGCUGCGGGAAACUGCAGGUAAUGCCGGAUAACAUCCUCGGAUCAAAGGUGUGAUUCCGCCGAGGGAGGGGCCCGCGUUCUAUUAGCUAGUUGGUAGGGUAAUGGCCUACCAAGGCGACGAUGGAUACCGGGUGUGAGAGCAUGACCCGGCUCACUGGGACUGAGACACUGCCCAGACACCUACGGGUGGCUGCAGUCGAGAAUCUUCGGCAAUGGGCGCAAGCCUGACCGAGCGACGCCGCGUGCGGGAUGAAGGCCUUCGGGUUGUAAACCGCUGUCGUAGAGGAGGAAAUGCCAUGGGGUUCUCUCCAUGGUUUGACCUAUUCUAGGAGGAAGGACGGGCUAAGUUCGUGCCAGCCGCCGCAGUAACAC